RNAcentral lists this long non-coding RNA (634 nucleotides) under Cottoperca gobio. Its description in RNAcentral is "lncRNA (ENSCGOG00000016841.1)". The record is from RNAcentral. Lineage: Eukaryota; Metazoa; Chordata; Actinopteri; Perciformes; Bovichtidae.
CAGAGAUGAGACGUGUGACCCUUUCAUCCUUCUACCACAGCAACUUCAAGAAACCAGAGCGGGGGGGGGGGGAGAGAGAGAGAGACUGGGAGGAGCGACGGUUUGAGCUCCAGGUGGUCGAGCCUGCGUAAAAACUCACCAAACACACGCCAAACGCUUACGAAAUAGUGGGAAAAGCUAGAUCCUUGCACUUAUAUGAAUGAAUAAGUUGUUUUGAGAAAGCCUGCUGGAUUUGUUGCUGGAUAAAUUACCAAAAGAGCGUAACGUGCUUCGGUGGUGCGUCACUGCGAUCUCCACAGAAAUCGGACAAAACGGCAUCAAACAGGGUGAACUUUAGAUUCUUGGCCAAAAACGACGGCUUGUUUCAGCCACAAGUGGAGAUAUGUUCAAGAAAAGCAAGAGUAAAGUGCUGGUGGAUUAUGCGUCAGAGGAAGACGACAUGUCCUGGCACCAUCAACACUCCUACAAGGAGGACGACAAGUGCUCAAACUUCUGUCAUGCCAGCUGAGGAGGAGAGUGACAGAAAAUGCAGGGGGGUAAAAAAGAAAAGAAAAGAGGAAGCUCAUUGAAAGAACCAAACCAAUCCUAACUUAUUUUACAUGGGGACUGAAUAUAUAAAAUGUAUAAAAAUUCA